This 77-nucleotide transfer RNA is filed under the name Lachnospiraceae bacterium. Its description in RNAcentral is "tRNA-Met". It matches the Rfam family "tRNA". Rfam says of the family: Transfer RNA (tRNA) molecules are approximately 80 nucleotides in length. Their secondary structure includes four short double-helical elements and three loops (D, anti-codon, and T loops). Further hydrogen bonds mediate the characteristic L-shaped molecular structure. tRNAs have two regions of fundamental functional importance: the anti-codon, which is responsible for specific mRNA codon recognition, and the 3' end, to which the tRNAs corresponding amino acid is attached (by aminoacyl-tRNA synthetases). tRNAs cope with the degeneracy of the genetic code in two manners: having more than one tRNA (with a specific anti-codon) for a particular amino acid; and 'wobble' base-pairing, i.e. permitting non-standard base-pairing at the 3rd anti-codon position. Lineage: Bacteria; Bacillati; Bacillota; Clostridia; Lachnospirales; Lachnospiraceae. The record is from RNAcentral.
GGGCCUUUAGCUGAGUUGGUUACAGCACCCGGCUCAUAACCGGUUGAUCCUGGGUUCGAGUCCCAGAGGGCCCACCA